ACUCCUGGACAAGCCUCAUGCCUGGUCUCCACCUGCCAGCUCCUUCCCGGAAGGCGCCGCAGUACCCCGCCACCCGCCCUUCAAAUGACCGCCUGGCUGCAAGGUGUGAGCGAGUUAAGUGCGCCUUGCCUCCCCGUGUCUCCGGGAGCCCCGUGUAGCAGGCGUGGCGGUGGCAGGAACAGCAUCUCUCCUCCAUCCAUUGGGCAAACAUUUUUGGAGCCAGACGCCGUGGGGACCUUGGCGCUCGCCAGCUCCGGAAGCUCCGUGCUGCCCUGGGGUGCAGCUGAGCCCAGGGCUAACCGGAAGCAGCCUGGAGGACCUUGACCGCUCACAGAUAACCAGGAAAGCCAGACAAGAAGGACUACUUCUUCCAGGAGCCAUGAAGGUCAGGAGCAGAGGGUUGCCAGACUGAUGGCAAGAAAACUGUGUCAGACAUAGUGCGUCUGGACUUCACUGAGGAAUGUGACAAGGCAUCUUAUGUCCUUGUGAACAAGAUGGACAAAUGUGGCUGGGUGACCGUGUAAUUAAGUGGAUUGAACCACUGUCCCCAAAGGGUGCUGAU
Long non-coding RNA from Prionailurus viverrinus (fishing cat), 562 nucleotides. RefSeq lists it as uncharacterized. The transcript is spliced from 3 exons. NCBI's taxonomy places the organism in Eukaryota, Metazoa, Chordata, Mammalia, Carnivora, Felidae. The record is from RefSeq and is a predicted model, not a curated record.